Molecule: ribosomal RNA, 466 nt
Filed under: uncultured bacterium
Lineage: Bacteria
Description: partial 16S ribosomal RNA
Rfam family: Bacterial small subunit ribosomal RNA
Source: RNAcentral
CUACGGGAUGCAGCAGUGGGGAAUAUUGGACAAUGGGGGAAACCCUGAUCCAGCAAUGCCGCGUGUGUGAAGAAGGCCUGCGGGUUGUAAAGCACUUUCGGUUGGGAGGACUGCUUCUAGCACUAAUAUUGUUGGAAGUUGACGUUACCUUCAGAAGAAGCACCGGCUAACUCCGUGCCAGCAGCCGCGGCAAUGACGGAGGGUGCAAGCGUUAAUCGGAAUUACUGGGCGUAAAGCGCGCGUAGGCGGCUAGAUCAGUCGGGUGUGAAAGCCCCGGGCUUAACCUGGGAACUGCAUCCGAUACUGUCUAGCUUGAGUACAGGAGAGGAGAGUGGAAUUCCACAUGUAGCGGUGAAAUGCGUAGAUAUGUGGAGGAACACCAAUGGCGAAGGCAGCUCUCUGGCCUGAUACUGACGCUGAGGUGCGAAAGCGUGGGGAGCAAACAGGAUUAGAUACCCUCGUAGUC